Molecule: ribosomal RNA, 464 nt
Filed under: uncultured bacterium
Lineage: Bacteria
Description: bacterial SSU rRNA
Rfam family: Bacterial small subunit ribosomal RNA
Source: RNAcentral
GACGAACGCUGGCGGCGUGCUUAACACAUGCAAGUCGAACGGAAAGGCCCUUUCGGGGGUACUCGAGUGGCGAACGGGUGAGUAACACGUGGGUGAUCUGCCCUGCACUUUGGGAUAAGCCUGGGAAACUGGGUCUAAUACCGGAUAUGACUAUGGCCUGCAUGGGUUGUGGUGGAAAGCUUUUGCGGUGUGGGAUGGGCCCGCGGCCUAUCAGCUUGUUGGUGAGGUUAUGGCUUACCAAGGCGACGACGGGUAGCCGGCCUGAGAGGGUGUCCGGCCACACUGGGACUGAGAUACGGCCCAGACUCCUACGGGAGGCAGCAGUGGGGAAUAUUGCACAAUGGGCGCAAGCCUGAUGCAGCGACGCCGCGUGAGGGAUGACGGCCUUCGGGUUGUAAACCUCUUUCAGUACAGACGAAGCGUAAGUGACGGUAUGUACAGAAGAAGCACCGGCCAACUACGUG